CCUACGGGGGGCAGCAGUGAGGAAGAUUGGUCAAUGGGCUUACGCCUGAACCAGCCAAGUCGCGUGAGGGAAGACUGCCCUAUGGGUUGUAAACCUCUUUUGUCAGGGAGCAACGCCGGCUACGUGUAGCCGGACGGAGAGUACCUGAAGAAAAAGCAGCGGCGAACUCCGUGCCAGCAGCCGCGGUAAUACGGAGGAUGCGAGCGUGAUCGGGAUUGAUUGGGUUUAAAGGGUGCGUAGGCGGAAUGCCAAGUCAGCGGUAAAAUCGCGGGGCUCAACCUCGCUCCGCCGUUGAAACUGGCGUUCUUGCGUGGGCGAGACGUAUGCGGACUGCGUGGUGUAGCGG
RNAcentral lists this ribosomal RNA (346 nucleotides) under uncultured bacterium. Its description in RNAcentral is "partial 16S ribosomal RNA". It matches the Rfam family "Bacterial small subunit ribosomal RNA", at positions 338 to 681 of the family's 1533-position model. The record is from RNAcentral.